RNAcentral lists this ribosomal RNA (464 nucleotides) under uncultured bacterium. RNAcentral describes it as "bacterial SSU rRNA". It matches the Rfam family "Bacterial small subunit ribosomal RNA", at positions 339 to 794 of the family's 1533-position model. The record is from RNAcentral.
GUACGGGAGGCAGCAGUGGGGAAUCUUCCGCAAUGGACGAAAGUCUGACGGAGCAACGCCGCGUGAGUGAAGAAGGUCUUCGGAUUGUAAAACUCUGUUUUUUGGGAAGAACGGUCUCUAUGUGAAUAAUGUAGAGAAUUGACGGUACCAAAGGAGGAAGCCCCGGCUAACUACGUGCCAGCAGCCGCGGUAAUACGUAGGGGGCAAGCGUUGUCCGGAAUUAUUGGGCGUAAAGAGCGCGCAGGCGGUUUGUUAAGUCUACCGUGAAAGCUUACGGCUCAACCGUAACAGGCCGGUGGAUACUGGCAGACUUGAGGGCAGGAGAGGAAAGUGGAAUUCCCAGUGUAGCGGUGAAAUGCGUAGAGAUUGGGAGGAACACCAGUGGCGAAGGCGACUUUCUGGACUGUUACUGACGCUGAGGCGCGAAAGCUGGGGGAGUGAACGGGAUUAGAUACCCCGGUAGC